This 702-nucleotide ribosomal RNA is filed under the name uncultured bacterium. Its description in RNAcentral is "bacterial SSU rRNA". It matches the Rfam family "Bacterial small subunit ribosomal RNA", at positions 80 to 778 of the family's 1533-position model. The record is from RNAcentral.
CUCUGUGGGUGGCGAGUGGCGGACGGGUGAGUAAUGCAUCGGGACCUACCUGAACGUGGGGGAUAACGUAGGGAAACUUACGCUAAUACCGCAUACGUCCUACGGGAGAAAGCGGGGGACCUUCGGGCCUCGCGCGGUCAGACGGACCGAUGUUCGAUUAGCUAGUUGGUAAGGUAAUGGCUUACCAAGGCGACGAUCGAUAGCUGGUCUGAGAGGAUGAUCAGCCACACUGGAACUGAGACACGGUCCAGACUCCUACGGGAGGCAGCAGUGGGGAAUAUUGGACAAUGGGCGCAAGCCUGAUCCAGCAAUGCCGCGUGUGUGAAGAAGGCCUUCGGGUUGUAAAGCACUUUUAUCGGGAGCGAAAUACCAUUGGUUAAUAACCGGUGGGGCUGACGGUACCCGAGGAAUAAGCACCGGCUAACUUCGUGCCAGCAGCCGCGGUAAUACGAAGGGUGCAAGCGUUAAUCGGAAUUACUGGGCGUAAAGGGUGCGUAGGCGGUUAGUUAAGUCUGUUGUGAAAUCCCCGGGCUCAACCUGGGAAUGGCAAUGGAAACUGGCUAGCUAGAGUGUGUCAGAGGAUGGUGGAAUUUCCGGUGUAGCGGUGAAAUGCGUAGAGAUCGGAAGGAACAUCAGUGGCGAAGGCGGCCAUCUGGGACAACACUGACGCUGAAGCACGAAAGCGUGAGGAGCAAACAGGAU